UACUAGAGUAGCACUCGCAUAUCAAUAAGCGGAGGAAAAGAAACUAACAAGGAUUCCCCUAGUAACGGCGAGUGAAGCGGGAAGAGCUCAAAUUUGAAAUCUUAAAGGGUUUCCCUUUACGAAUUGUAGUUUAAAGAAGUGUUUUCUGUUGAGGCUUUGGUAAAAGUUCCUUGGAAUAGGACAUCAUAGAGGGUGAGAAUCCCGUAUUUGACCUUUACUUUCAACUUUGUGAUACACUUUCAAAGAGUCGGAUUGUUUGGGAAUGCAGUCCAAAAUGGGUGGUAAAUUUCAUCUAAAGCUAAAUAUUGGCGAGAGACCGAUAGCGAACAAGUACCGUGAGGAAAGAUGAAAAGAACUUUGAAAAGAGAGUUAAACAGUACGUGAAAUUGUCAAAAGGGAAGCGUUUGACACCAGUGUUGUUUUUCUGAAAAUCAAUUAAAGAACUGUUUAUGCUAAGUUGUUUAGACUUUAUCAGCUAUCUGUUUAGUUUUGAGCUUUUCUUUAAUGCACUUUUCAGUUAACAAGUCAACAUCAAUUUCUUUUGCUGUAAAAAAGCUUGAGGAAGGUGGCUUGAGAUUCGUCUUAAGUGUUUAUAGCCUCUUGCCUAUGCAGUCGGAGAGAUUGAGGUCUGCAGCGUAGAUCCUUCGGGGCUAAAUGCAUUUGUGCUAAGUUAUAGCAUUUUAUAGACAACUUGUUGACUAUGAUUUGUCUUGUAGCUUACCCGCUUAUGUUAUUUUACCUACGCUUAGGAUGUUGAUAUCGCGCUCUCACUG
This 773-nucleotide ribosomal RNA is filed under the name uncultured Neocallimastigales. Its description in RNAcentral is "partial large subunit ribosomal RNA". It matches the Rfam family "Eukaryotic large subunit ribosomal RNA", at positions 20 to 643 of the family's 3401-position model. Lineage: Eukaryota; Fungi; Neocallimastigomycota; Neocallimastigomycetes; Neocallimastigales. The record is from RNAcentral.